UUUUUUUGGUUUUUUUUUUUUUAGUAGGUUAAUUAUUCCACCUACCCCAUAAAGGCAUACCAUUUCUUAAAGAAGACACCCUAGGGUAUUUCAAAAGACAUAUAUUGAACCUUACCGUGGGAUCAUUUUUCUGCUAGCUUGUAUCAAGUGUAGUGGUAAUUUUUUAUGCCUUUUUGACACACACAGUGAGUUUGUAAUAUAUAUUUUGCAAACCGUAUGUGUGCUACAGCAGUAUAAUACAUCACAUGUUGCUCAGCUAUGUCAUCUGAGUACAGCAAUACCCCCAUAUGUACCUUUACCAGGCAUAUGAUAACGUUGAUGGGGCACAUUUGAGACACAGCCAUUUAAGUUUGAAUUUUUAUGCUGGG
Non-coding RNA from Pelobates cultripes (western spadefoot toad), 368 nucleotides. The record is from the annotation of a GenBank genome assembly. Lineage: Eukaryota; Metazoa; Chordata; Amphibia; Anura; Pelobatidae.